Molecule: unclassified non-coding RNA, 379 nt
Filed under: plant metagenome
Description: partial contains 5.8S ribosomal RNA, internal transcribed spacer 2, and large subunit ribosomal RNA
Rfam family: 5.8S ribosomal RNA (bases 1-106)
Source: RNAcentral
CGAAAUGCGAUAAGUAAUGUGAAUUGCAGAAUUCAGUGAAUCAUCGAAUCUUUGAACGCACCUUGCGCUCCUUGGUAUUCCUUGGAGCAUGCCUGUUUGAGUAUCAUGAAAUCUUCAAAGUAAAUCUUUUGUUAACUCAAUUGGUUUCUACUUUGGUAUUGGAGGUCUUUGCAGCUUCACACCUGCUCCUCUUUGUUCAUUAGCUGGAUCUCAGUGUUAUGCUUGGUUCCACUCGGCGUGAUAAGUUAUCUAUCGCUGAGGACACUGUAAAAGGUGGCCAAGGUAAAUGCAGAUGAACCGCUUCUAAUAGUCCAUUGACUUGGACAAUACUGUUAUGAUCUGAUCUCAAAUCAGGUAGGACUACCCGCUGAACUUAAGC